GAUGAAGAACGUAGCGAAAUGCGAUAAGUAAUGUGAAUUGCAGAUUUCAGUGAAUCAUCGAAUCUUUGAACGCACAUUGCGCCCUCUGGUAUUCCGGGGGGCAUGCCUGUUCGAGCGUCAUUAUAACCACUCAAGCUCUCGCUUGGUAUUGGAGUUCGCGAUCUCGCGGCUCCUAAAAUCAGUGGCGGUGCCUGUCGGCUCUACGCGUAGUAAUACUCCUCGCGAUUGAGUCCGGUAGGUUUACUUGCCAGCAACCCCCAAUUUUUACAGGUUGACCUCGGAUCAGGUAGGGAUACCCGCUGAACUUAAGCAUAUCAAUAGCGGAGGA
RNAcentral lists this unclassified non-coding RNA (328 nucleotides) under soil metagenome. RNAcentral describes it as "partial contains 5.8S ribosomal RNA, internal transcribed spacer 2, and large subunit ribosomal RNA". The stretch from base 1 to 120 matches the Rfam family "5.8S ribosomal RNA", at positions 35 to 154 of the family's 154-position model. The record is from RNAcentral.